CCUACGGGAGGCAGCAGUGGGGAAUAUUGCACAAUGGGGGAAACCCUGAUGCAGCGACGCCGCGUGAGUGAAGAAGUAUUUCGGUAUGUAAAGCUCUAUCAGCAGGGAAGAAGAAAGACGGUACCUGACUAAGAAGCCCCGGCUAACUACGUGCCAGCAGCCGCGGUAAUACGUAGGGGGCAAGCGUUAUCCGGAUUUACUGGGGGUAAGGGGAGCGUAGACGGCUGUGCAAGUCUGAAGUGAAAGCCCAGGGCUCAACCCUGGGACUGCUUUGGAAACUGUGGAGCUAGAGUGCUGGAGAGGUAAGUGGAAUUCCUAGUGUAGCGGUGAAAUGCGUAGAUAUUAGGAGGAACACCAGUGGCGAAGGCGGCUUACUGGACAGUAACUGACGUUGAGGCUCGAAAGCGUGGGGAGCAAACAGGAUUAGAUACCCCAGUAGUC
This 441-nucleotide ribosomal RNA is filed under the name uncultured bacterium. RNAcentral describes it as "partial 16S ribosomal RNA". It matches the Rfam family "Bacterial small subunit ribosomal RNA", at positions 338 to 795 of the family's 1533-position model. The record is from RNAcentral.